GGUUUGGCUCCAUUCUUUUCUGUCUGGUUCAUGUGUGAAAGCAGGACCGAUUAACCAACCAGAGACAAGCCCAGGAAGGAAUGCAACUCCGUCUUGCUGAUCUCACUCGCUCUGGACCGUUCCAGAUAAAAGAUUUCCUAAUAAAGUGAGAACUACAAUAGGACUAUGUGGAAUUGUAAUCUCCCAUCCCAGUUGCUGAAUAGAUGGUGUCAUCCUUUGUGGAAUGUCCCUGGCCUCGUCAGACCUCAUUUUGAUCAUGUCUGGAGGACUAAGAGGCACAUGAAGAAAAUUUUUAAUGACUCAACAGAUAAACACUUGAUUUCACCUGGGUCAAGUUCCAGGUAUUCAUACCGGGCGUUGACUGUCUCUAGGCCAUGCACAGUGCAGGACCAACCUUCUCCUCCCAAACUCUGACACUAAUUUUGCCCUGUGCCCAUUUGGACCCAUCACAUCCAUCUCCUUGCCACCCCACCCCCCCAACUCUUUCAUGGGGGCUGAAAAUUGGGACUGAUGAUAUCUGUCCGAAACCCCCAAAGCCCUCAUCAUAAAUAAAAGUGUAUUUAUAAGUGCCCUGAGGAGGAGGGCGUAGGAACUCAUCUUGCGUGGUGCUUUUCUCUUGUUGUUGGAACUGUGGAAGGUGGAUGUUUUUCAUUAACACCAGCAUUUGCAACACGCAUCCCAACUCCCAGCUGGAAAGAGAAUUUUUGCUGAAUUGUUCACAAAGAGCACUCUGUUUUGGAAAAUCAGUCUCCUCGGGCCUGGAGCUUUGAGGUUUGCUGAAUUCAUGUUAAACACUGACUGUGUGGUCCAGUGGUCAGGGAGCAGACUGGCUGCAAGAAGGUCUCCAGGUCUACACCUCAGCCCAGUCACGGCCACUCACUGGGAGACUGUGGGAAGAGGGCUGGAGGGCUUUAGAUUUUUUUCAUCUUCAGCUGCCAGCCUGGGCAAAGCCACAACUCUGGAGCCAACCUGAGGCCACAUCGGAGCUUCUGUCCCCGCCAUCCACAGAACGCAGAAUAAGUUUCUGCCUCACCUAGGAUUUGGUCAGAGAAUUUUCCUUCAGUGCCAAGUUGCCACUUUUGCCCCAAAGUAAGUGACUGAAUGCUGAUUGGGUUCAAAGAUACAAGGUGCUCUUGAAUGAAACCAGCUUAGGUCUCUGUUUCUCAGACUAGGGGCUGGAGUUCAGCGGGGGACUCUCAAACCAGUGGGCUUUGGUGAUCACUUAAUGAUACCACUGGGGCUGCCAUAUUGAAGCUUUGGUGGUGGCAGAUCGAGGAAAGACAAUAUUGUCUGCAACUAUCUCCAGAUUUGGGGGAGUGGGAGAGGGUACAGAUAGAAGGAGAUGCAGGAAAGAGCAGUCAUUCAAAAAAAGCUACUGGUCAGAAAUCUACAGACUUUGAGAUGCUUUGGGGAGGUUGUAGGAUAAGGAAAUUGCCCAAGGAUGAUCUGGCUCCCAUGGCUAUGGCUUUGGAGCAAGCUAUAGCCCCCACGCCAAAAAUGAGUUAUUAAAUCACUUUUAAAAAUCUGUGAGCAAAAGAGCUUACCUGUGUAAUGAAGUGUACUUGUUUUAACCUAAAAUGGGAGAGGAUCGUGAUUUAUAAUGUGAGUGGAGCAAGCCAGGCACUGGCGACUACAGGGCACACAGGUGCUGACUCUGGGUUGAGUCUACACCACAGAGAUGUUCAAUGUGUCCGUCACAGCAGCAGGACGGCCCUCUACAGCUCAGGUGUGCCACGGGGUGGUCUUGGAACUCUGUCAUUGCUGUGUAGAAACACCCAGAGACAUUGAGGGGAGGCUAGCCCCUUCGAGAUGCACAGGAAUCUCCCAUUUUGCCUCCAGCGGCUCAGCCCCACAUGCUCACAUCCCUGCCUCAUCCCUGCAGAAUUUGGGUGUGUGAGCCCGGUGAAGAUACCCCUCCAGGUCCCAUGUUUCCUUGGCAUGAACUGACUUUAUUCUGGAAACCUACAGUGGAAGAGAGCAUGAGAGGUCAUCGCAGUCAUCAGAACCAUGUGACUUCUGAGCCCUUGUUCUUUCCAUUAUGCCCUGUUGCCUCCCAAGGACUCCGCAAGUUCUCCCUUGAUGAUGCUGGCUGAUGGCUCACCAUCUAUGGGGGCUCCCGGCCCUGGUUACUGAGAGGGAUGCUUCAUACACCAGCUGUGGGACAAGGACGGUCUUUUUUCGGUAGGGAAGCUUUGUCACUCCCACACCCUUUCCAACCUCUUCAUUCUCCCCACACCACUCCGGAAGGUGGUUUGUGGGCCAAAUCCAGCUGUACUGAGGUCUUUCUCCAGCUCAGAUGUGGGGUGACUUGCCCUUCCAAGGACUGGCCCAUGUCACUUGAUGGGUUUGUUGCCCAGCCUACUGCUGGUGGUCCACUGCUCUUUGGGAUCCCUUCUUGCAGUGAGAAUUCUCUCCAAAGAACAAUAAAUCACAGAAGAGAAAAGCGCGGUUCUGGCCCUUCUUGCAGCGAGGCGGGGAUUUAAGAAAUCUGAUCAAAGCAGAUGUUGAGGGAUGGGUGAACAUUUUUAAAAGCUUGCGAUGGAGAGAAAAACAAAAACAAAAAAACACUGGUUGGGAAUGUCGAACCCCAAACUCUCGGGGGAAGGUAGCUUUGGCCUCUCCACCUCCUGGUCAGUGCCAUUUCCUGUUUUCCUGAAUGUCCCACUCCCUUGCCUUUUUUUUUUUUUUUCUUUUUCUUUUUUUCCAUUUUCCUGGAAAAUAUUUCUAUCCUGGGAAAGCCGGUUUCAUCCAAUUGUCUGGUGUACCCCCAUGUGUUGAUACCCAGGCAAUGACAGAGAUGACCCUCUGCCCAGAGCAGCACGAGGGACUCAGUGAUCUGCAGGGCAGUCCCCAGGACCUUUGCAACCUGCCAGCUUCGUGUCUAACUUCUCAGCCACAGCAACUUGCGCGGCCCUCUGAUGCCAGGUCACCUCUGGUCUCUGCAGGUGACAUCACUUGGAGGAACAAGGUGAUUUUCAGCAGCCACCUGCAGGAGCUACUGAGGGUCAGGAGAGAACCACCCCCCCCCCUUACCCGUCCACACUGAGCCCAAGAGACUCGCCUCAGGCAGCGGCAGUCUCUUUUUAACCUCUCUGCGGGGAAAUCCUAGAACUUCAGCUGCGGCUCUUAACGCCUUUUCCACUGCUACUUUAUGGCAUCUCAUCCCAUUUCCAGGCCACACGUCCUGGUUUCAAGUUGACCCCCAUUGGUUCAGAAUUGACUGUGACAACUAUUUUUCUUAGUUCCGAUGGAUCCUAGCCAUCUGCUAAGUGCUGAUGUUGAGAUUGGAUCCUGGGGUGGUAGAAGGUCUAUUUCUCCCAAUUUUCCGAAACGAAAACUGCAGGGUGUCUGAGAUCACAGCUCACGGGACUGUAGGAUGUUCUGUAGGAUGGUGAGACUGCCACAUGGAUUUAUUCAGGUAACAAACAUUCACUGACCUCUGUAGUUGGCAGGGGGCUCAGCACUAAGGAAAUCGUAAGGGAAAAGAUAGACACAGCUUUUUCCUUUACUCUGCUUUUAGUGAAUUAUGGGUUACAGACAAGGAAAGGGAGCAUUAUAUCAAAGUGGAAUAAAAGGAUGGUUUGAUUUCAAGAGGAGCCCCUGGAGUUCCUGUUGUGGCAGAGCAGAAAUGAAUCCGACUUGUAUCCAUGAGGAUUUGGGUUUGAUCCCUGGCCCACUCAGUGAGUCAGGGAUCCAGCGUUGCUGUGAGUUGUGGCAUAGGUCACAGAUGCCACUCAGAUUCCCGCGUUGCUGUGGCUGUGGCUGCGGCUGGCAGCUGCAGCUCCAAUUCACUCCCUAGCCUGGGAACCUCCAUAUGCUGCGGG
This 3824-nucleotide long non-coding RNA is filed under the name Sus scrofa (pig). Its description in RNAcentral is "lncRNA (ENSSSCG00000053984.1)". The record is from RNAcentral. Lineage: Eukaryota; Metazoa; Chordata; Mammalia; Artiodactyla; Suidae.